RNAcentral lists this ribosomal RNA (406 nucleotides) under uncultured bacterium. RNAcentral's name for it is "partial 16S ribosomal RNA". It matches the Rfam family "Bacterial small subunit ribosomal RNA", at positions 30 to 526 of the family's 1533-position model. The record is from RNAcentral.
AUUGAACGCUGGCGGCAGGCCUAACACAUGCAAGUCGAACGAGUGGCGGACGGGUGAGUAAUGUCUGGGAAACUGCCCGAUGGAGGGGGGUAACUACUGGAAACGGUAGCUAAUACCGCAUACCAUCGGAUGUGCCCAGAUGGGAUUAGCUAGUAGGUGGGGUAACGGCUCACCUAGGCGACGAUCCCUAGCUGGUCUUAGAGGAUGCCCAGCCACACGGGAACGUAGACACGGUCCAGACUCCUACGGGAGGCAGCAGUGGGGAAUAUUGAACAAGGGGCGCAAGCCUGAUGCAGCCAUGCCGCGUGUAUGAAGAAGGCCUUCGGGUUGUAAAGUACUUUCAGCGAGGAGGCGUUACUCGCAGAAGAAGCACCGGCUAACUCCGUGCCAGCAGCCGCGGUAAUAC